This 700-nucleotide ribosomal RNA is filed under the name uncultured bacterium. Its description in RNAcentral is "bacterial SSU rRNA". It matches the Rfam family "Bacterial small subunit ribosomal RNA", at positions 8 to 736 of the family's 1533-position model. The record is from RNAcentral.
AGAGUUUGAUCCUGGCUCAGGAUGAACGCUGGCGGCGUGCCUAACACAUGCAAGUCGAGCGAUCUUCUUCGGAAGAGAGCGGCGGACGGGUGAGUAACGCGUGGGUAACCUGCCCUGUACACACGGAUAACAUACCGAAAGGUAUGCUAAUACGAGAUAAUAUGCUUUUAUCGCAUGGUAGGAGUAUCAAAGCUCCGGCGGUACAGGAUGGACCCGCGUCUGAUUAGCUAGUUGGUGAGGUAACGGCUCACCAAGGCGACGAUCAGUAGCCGACCUGAGAGGGUGAUCGGCCACAUUGGAACUGAGACACGGUCCAAACUCCUACGGGAGGCAGCAGUGGGGAAUAUUGCACAAUGGGCGAAAGCCUGAUGCAGCAACGCCGCGUGAGCGAUGAAGGCCUUCGGGUCGUAAAGCUCUGUCCUCAAGGAAGAUAAUGACGGUACUUGAGGAGGAAGCCCCGGCUAACUACGUGCCAGCAGCCGCGGUAAUACGUAGGGGGCUAGCGUUAUCCGGAAUUACUGGGCGUAAAGGGUGCGUAGGUGGUUUCUUAAGUCAGAGGUGAAAGGCUACGGCUCAACCGUAGUAAGCCUUUGAAACUGGGAAACUUGAGUGCAGGAGAGGAGAGUGGAAUUCCUAGUGUAGCGGUGAAAUGCGUAGAUAUUAGGAGGAACACCAGUUGCGAAGGCGGCUCUCUGGACUG